UGCUACGGCCAUGCUACCCUGAACAAGUCCGAUCCCAUCUGAUCUCAGAAGCUAACCAGGGUUGGGCCUGGUUAGUACUUGGAUGGGAGAACACCUAGGAAGACCGGGUACUGUAGGCA
RNAcentral lists this ribosomal RNA (119 nucleotides) under Pteropus alecto (black flying fox). Lineage: Eukaryota; Metazoa; Chordata; Mammalia; Chiroptera; Pteropodidae. The record is from RNAcentral.